Molecule: long non-coding RNA, 2893 nt
Organism: Lates calcarifer (barramundi perch)
Lineage: Eukaryota; Metazoa; Chordata; Actinopteri; Centropomidae
Exons: 6
Source: RefSeq, a predicted model, not a curated record
GCUUCGUAGAGACCUUGCGAUAGAAUCGGCGGAGACGGGGGUCACCGAUUUGACGGCACUGCCCGCGAUCACGGACAUUGUCGAAGGUCACAGAGACAGCGUCUAUGAUCUCAGAGACAUCGUCCACGAUCAGAAAGACAUAGUCCAUGAUCACAGAGACAUUGUCCAUAAUCUCAGAAACAUUGUCCGCGAUCACAGAGACGUAGUCCACGAUCACACAGUCUUCGUACAAUGAAGAAGUUCUUUGAGACCAAGACAGAGGCCUCCAGGUGUCACCACUUUGUCCACAACAUUGUCCAUGGCAUCGUCCACGAUCGGAGAGACAUGGUCCGUGAACGGAGAGACAUUGUUGAGGAUGAGGGAGACAUCGUCCAUGAUCAGAGACCUUGUCCACGAUCGCAGAGACCUUGUCAAAGAUGAGAGAGACGUUGUCCAUGAUCAGAGACAUUGUCCAUGCUUCGUAGAGACCUUGCGAUAGAAUCGGCAGAGACGGGGGUCACCGAUUUGACGGCACUGCCCGCGAUCACGGACAUUGUCGAAGGUCACAGAGACAGCGUCUAUGAUCUCAGAGACAUCGUCCACGAUCAGAAAGACAUAGUCCAUGAUCACAGAGACAUUGUCCAUAAUCUCAGAAACAUUGUCCGCGAUCACAGAGACGUAGUCCACGAUCACACAGUCUUCGUACAAUGAAGAAGUUCUUUGAGACCAAGACAGAGGCCUCCAGGUGUCACCACUUUGUCCACAACAUUGUCCAUGGCAUCGUCCACGAUCGGAGAGACAUGGUCCAUGAACGGAGAGACAUUGUUGAGGAUGAGGGAGACAUCGUCCAUGAUCAGAGACCUUGUCCACGAUCGCAGAGACCUUGUCAAAGAUGAGAGAGACGUUGUCCAUGAUCAGAGACAUUGUCCAUGCUUCGUAGAGACCUUGCGAUAGAAUCGGCGGAGACGGGGGUCACCGAUUUGACGGCACUGCCCGCGAUCACGGACAUUGUCGAAGGUCACAGAGACAGCGUCUAUGAUCUCAGAGACAUCGUCCACGAUCAGAAAGACAUAGUCCAUGAUCACAGAGACAUUGUCCAUAAUCUCAGAAACAUUGUCCGCGAUCACAGAGACGUAGUCCACGAUCACACAGUCUUCGUACAAUGAAGAAGUUCUUUGAGACCAAGACAGAGGCCUCCAGGUGUCACCACUUUGUCCACAACAUUGUCCAUGGCAUCGUCCACGAUCGGAGAGACAUGGUCCAUGAACGGAGAGACAUUGUUGAGGAUGAGGGAGACAUCGUCCAUGAUCAGAGACCUUGUCCACGAUCGCAGAGACCUUGUCAAAGAUGAGAGAGACGUUGUCCAUGAUCAGAGACAUUGUCCAUGCUUCGUAGAGACCUUGCGAUAGAAUCGGCGGAGACGGGGGUCACCGAUUCGACGGCACUGCCCGCGAUCACGGACAUUGUCGAAGGUCACAGAGACAGCGUCUAUGAUCUCAGAGACAUCGUCCACGAUCAGAAAGACAUAGUCCAUGAUCACAGAGACAUUGUCCAUAAUCUCAGAAACAUUGUCCGCGAUCACAGAGACGUAGUCCACGAUCACACAGUCUUCGUACAAUGAAGAAGUUCUUUGAGACCAAGACAGAGGCCUCCAGGUGUCACCACUUUGUCCACAACAUUGUCCAUGGCAUCGUCCACGAUCGCAGAGACAUGGUCCGUGAACGGAGAGACAUUGUUGAGGAUGAGGGAGACAUCGUCCAUGAUCAGAGACCAUGUCCACGAUCGCAGAGACAUGGUCCGUGAACGGAGAGACAUUGUUGAGGAUGAGGGAGACAUCGUCCAUGAUCAGAGACCUUGUCCACGAUCGCAGAGACCUUGUCAAAGAUGAGAGAGACGUUGUCCAUGAUCAGAGACAUUGUCCAUGCUUCGUAGAGACCUUGCGAUAGAAUCGGCGGAGACGGGGGUCACCGAUUUGACGGCACUGCCCGCGAUCACGGACAUUGUCGAAGGUCACAGAGACAGCGUCUAUGAUCUCAGAGACAUCGUCCACGAUCAGAAAGACAUAGUCCAUGAUCACAGAGACAUUGUCCAUAAUCUCAGAAACAUUGUCCGCGAUCACAGAGACGUAGUCCACGAUCACACAGUCUUCGUACAAUGAAGAAGUUCUUUGAGACCAAGACAGAGGCCUCCAGGAGGAGAAGACGACAGCAGCUGAAGACCUGAAGUGGAUGAAAGAAAACAAAAGUGUUAUGAAGCUGUUAAUUAGAUGAAAGACCUCCACCAUCUAAUUGCUUUAAACAGUUGUUCAAGUGAAAACACUUUGUUUUUCUCUACCAUCUAUAAUGUAGUCAUGGGCACAUUUUCCAAAGACCUUAUUAAACACCUUGGAGAACAUUAAACGGCUUAUGACAAAACUAUUUAAUAACUGUAUCACAAGCAGUUAAAUGAUCACAAAGAUGCUUCGUAGACAUCUUCAUCUUUGGAAAAUGUGCUCAUAACUACAUUAACCUUAACUCUAACCAUCUCCAGCAAGUGUUUCCUUGUGGUCAAAUGUCUGCCAUUAUCUAGCUGUGAUUUGUUAAAUGUUGUCUGGAAUAGUCUCUUUAUAAACUUUUGAGUUGCAUUACUCUAUUUUGUAACUGAAGUUAUACAAAUCAUUUUACUGCAUUUUAUUUUAAGAAAAAAUGUUAUGAUUGUCAUGUUUUAAUUUUUAGACCUGUUUUUAUAUUUAUGGUUUUAUACUUUUAAAAUGUUUAACACUCAUUUCAAAAUCAUGAAAAAAUGAGGAGCUGAAACCACGCCCACUCGGUACAGAGACUGUUAGCAUGCUAUUCCGUAAAUGUUUUAGCCACCGGAGCUUUUUUGUUUUUGUUGAUCAAAUGGCCUGUCUUCGAGGACUAAAUACCAGUAAUAU